Molecule: long non-coding RNA, 1175 nt
Organism: Limulus polyphemus (Atlantic horseshoe crab)
Lineage: Eukaryota; Metazoa; Arthropoda; Merostomata; Xiphosura; Limulidae
Exons: 3
Source: RefSeq, a predicted model, not a curated record
GAUACGUGACGUUAGCUUGUUGAUGUUUUCCUGGUAUUACUGUGAUCCGUGACGUUAGCUUGUUGAUGUUUUCUUGGUAUUACUGUGAUCCGUGACGUUAGCUUGUUGGUGUUUUCCUGGUAUUGCUGUGAUACGUGACGGUAGCUUGUUGAUGUUUUCCUGGUAUUGCUGUGAUACGUGACGGUAGCUUGUUGAUGUUUUCCUGGUAUUGCUGUGAUCCGUGACGUUAGCUUGUUGAUGUUUUCCUGGUGUUACUGUGAUCCGUGACGUUAGCUUGUUGGUGUUUUCCUGGUAUUACUGUGAUACGUGACGUUAGCUUGUUGGUGUUUUCCUGGUAUUACUGUGAUACGUGACGUUAGCUUGUUGGUGUUUUCCUGGUAUUACUGUGAUACGUGACGUUAGCUUGUUGAUGUUUUCCUGGUAUUGCUGUGAUACGUGACGUUAGCUUGUUGAUGUUUUCCUGGUAUUACUGUGAUACGUGACGUUAGCUUGUUGGUGUUUUCCUGGUAUUACUGUGAUACGUGACGUUAGCUUGUUGGUGUUUUCCUGGUGUUACUGUGAUUCGUGACGUUAGCUUGUUGAUGUUUUCCUGGUGUUACUGUGAUUCGUGACGUUAGCUUGUUGAUGUUUUCCUGGUGUUACUGUGAUCCGUGACGUUAGCUUGUUGGUGUUUUCCUGGUGUUACUGUGAUCCGUGACGUUUCUUUUAGGAAACGGACAUUGGCUCUCAGUGCAAUCUUUCCCUGACGGAACAGCUUCCCGAAGACAAGGCAACAUGUUCUGUUGCGGAGAGAGGAUUUACUAGGAACAGGUCCUUGUUUCAGAUACAAAGUGAAACCAUUAAUCACGUUCGUCAGUGCAACGGUAAGCCACCCACCCUUGGGGUGAAACCAAACACCUUGCAGCCUGUUAAGACAUUAAGCCCCCAAAAUUCCAUCAAGUGCUUCUCCUCAUCUUCCCAAACCUUUCGUGAAGCUAUUCCAUUUACCAUUCAUUCAUCCUGUAGCCGCCAGGCGUCGCUCACAAGCAGUAUCUUCAGCUCCCCUACUGUUCGGAAGAUCUCUCUGGUAGAAGCCAAAGAUCUGGACGUCAGUGAAAGUGAGGAGGAUAUUGAAGAUGAUGUAGAAUUUAAUGGCAAGCUCUGCUGGUUGGUUGAGCCGGAAGGGUUAUUUAAAG